This is an RNA transcript of Anopheles stephensi (Asian malaria mosquito), 2874 nucleotides long. It is a transcript of the gene named glycerol-3-phosphate dehydrogenase [NAD(+)], cytoplasmic, with no coding region annotated. NCBI's taxonomy places the organism in Eukaryota, Metazoa, Arthropoda, Insecta, Diptera, Culicidae. The record is from RefSeq and is a predicted model, not a curated record. The transcript has 8 exons.
GAAGCUAAAUUCAGAUCGAAAAAAACGAUCUUAUCAACAGCUUGUUAGUGACGCUCAGCCAGGCACUCCGACUGGGCGCUCGACGGCUGUGGUACGAUGUGGAACUGUUUUCAAUUGUGUUCGAUUGUUUGAGCGAGGAGGUCGCAUCGUUCAAAACUCGCAGCUUCCGACUUGUGUGGUCCAUUCUUUCGCUGCUGAUCCUACUAUCGUCGAGUGUGUUCUCCGCGUGCCGUACACUAGAUAUCACCAUGGCUGAUAAGGUUCGUGUUUGCAUCGUCGGCUCCGGAAACUGGGGAUCGGCCAUUGCCAAGAUUGUGGGCGCCAAUGCCAAGCGGUUGUCCACGUUCGAGGACCGUGUCACGAUGUACGUGUACGAGGAGAUGAUCAACGACAAGAAACUUACGGAAAUCAUCAACACGACGCACGAGAACGUCAAGUACCUGCCUGGACACAAGCUGCCCGAGAAUGUCGUCGCAGUUCCGGAUGUCGUGGAGGCAGCGAAAGAUGCCGACAUUCUCAUCUUUGUCGUGCCGCACCAGUUCAUCCGUGGGCUGGGCACGCAGCUGCUCGGCAAGAUCAAGCCGACGGCCGUCGGUCUUUCCCUGAUCAAGGGCUUCGACGUUGCCGAGGGCGGUGGCAUGGAGCUGAUCUCGCACCUGAUCACCAAGCAUCUGAAGAUUCCGUGCUCGGUGCUGAUGGGCGCCAAUCUGGCCGGUGAGGUGGCGGAAGAGAAGUUCUGCGAGACGACCAUCGGCUGCCGGGAUAUGAAGAUGGCGCAGACGCUGCGUGAUCUCUUCCAGACGCCAAACUUCCGUGUGGUGGUGGUGGACGAUGUCGAUGCGGUGGAAAUCUGCGGCGCGCUUAAGAACAUCGUGGCAUGUGGCGCCGGUUUUGUCGACGGCAUGGGAUCCGGUGACAACACGAAGGCGGCCGUCAUUCGGUUAGGUCUGAUGGAGAUGAUUAAGUUCGUCGAUGUGUUCUACCCCGGCAGCAAGCUGUCCACGUUCUUCGAAAGCUGUGGUGUUGCUGAUCUCAUCACUACGUGUUAUGGUGGCCGUAAUCGCAAAGUGUCGGAAGCGUUCGUGAAGACGGGAAAAACGAUCAAGCAGCUGGAGGACGAGAUGCUCAAUGGACAGAAGCUGCAGGGUCCGAUCACUGCCGAGGAGGUGAACUUUAUGCUGAAGAGUAAAGGGAUGGAGGAUAAAUUCCCGCUGUUUACCGCCAUCCACAAAAUCUGUACCGGUCAGGUUAAGCCGCAAGGAUUCCUGGACUGUCUGCGCAACCAUCCCGAGCACAUGACAACAUGGGCAAAGCUCUAGAGAAAUGCACGUUGUUGCGCUCACACAAUAAAGUUGCCAUUUCUCGCUCUGUAAUAAGAUUAACACAAUCACACCACAUCCCACAAUCCCACACAGCAAUCGCGAUCGCAAUUUAUUCGGAUUUUGAUGCUAGAACGCAAGAUCCAUCGGUGUGCAAUAAGAUCUCAGGAUAAGCGAAAUAGGGAUGUACUAUUGCUACUGUCCUUACCUGUUCCCAAAGCACGGCUCAGGAGGUUGUGAAAUUUGCAUUUACGUUGGGCGGAAAGCUUUCGGCAAGCUUAGCUUACACAUUCCGUUUUUGGUUGAUUUUGCUUAACUUUUCUAUCCAAUAGGAAAUGUUUUGUAGUUUUGUUUUGUGUUUUGGAUGGUUUUGUAACUAAGAGAACAAAAAACCUUUUUAUUACUGAUAUUAUUUUUGAAGGGUGUUUUUAUCUUUAAAUGAAAUACUGUUUUAGUGGUGGUCUAUCUACGUAUUAUUGAACGAUUAACAUGCUUGUGGGGAGUUUGAACAUGAUUCCUAAUACAUUUAGAGAUAGGUACAGAAGAGAGGUGUGUGUGUGUGCUGCGCGUUGUUAAAACAAUCCAAUAUCCAUCCAUCGUCAUCGUCGAAACAAUUGUUUUAGCAUAAACGGAAAACCAAAAACCAAUCCUGCAAGAUAUGUGAUACGGAAAGCUGAUAUAAAAAAAUGAAUAAACAGCAACAGUUAUUGGGCUUCAAUUGGUAUUCAAUUGUUGAGAAACACAAAAACAGAUAAGGGAAACAAUUUUAUUAGAAGAAAACCCCACAGCCCCUUCCUUAAUCCCAUAUCGUACGAUUGUGAAAUCCUCCCGGUUCCUUUCCGUUUACCUUCAUCCGAAUGAUUAGUGUUACCUUUAUAUGUUCGAUUGGAAUUUCCUCUGUGUGAAGUAACGUUUUCGUUGCCGUUCGGUUUGUAUCCAUGCUCAUCCUUGUGUUUCAUCAUAUCCUGCACCGAAUGAAACUGUUUCUCGUAGUGUUUCUCCUUCGUGUACGCCUUUCCCAUUGGCAAAAGUUGCACCAUUCUAUGUUUAAGCUACCACCACCACCACUCGGCUGCUAGUGUAGAGUAACGUGAACUAAUUUGGUUUUUCCUUUGAACUUGUGUUCUGCUCGAUGGGCGCGUGUUUGUGAACAAGGCAAACCUUCUCCUAAGUCGAUGCUGUGCAUUUGUCGUGGAGUGAUGUGGACUCUUGCGCGGCAACUAUGCUAAGAUGCAGCGGUGUACGCAUCACACAGAACCGGCCCUGAUGAAAACAUUGAUGAAAUCAUCCGGGAUUAGGAGAUGUAGCAAAACGUAAAAGUAAAAGCUUACCAAUGAAGGAAUUUAAAUGACGAAAACUCAUCGCCUCGAUAUCUCCUUCCCCCUUCCCGCCACCACAGCCCCACCCAAUCGUCCCUCAACACGUCGAAAUGAUACGCGAAUCUUAGGCCAAGCGAAUUUUAGAUCUUUCUAUUUGAUAAAUGUUGUUAUAGCAAAAUGAACGAGAAGUAUUGUACAUAGGACGUAAUAAAUUCGAAAAAUUUAGACAUCGGGAA